This 68-nucleotide transfer RNA is filed under the name Marmota monax (woodchuck). RNAcentral's name for it is "tRNA.Ala". The record is from RNAcentral. Lineage: Eukaryota; Metazoa; Chordata; Mammalia; Rodentia; Sciuridae.
GGUUUGUGGCUGAGUGGUAGAGUGCUUGCCUAGCAUACAUGAGGCUCUGGGUUCAAUCCUCAGCACCA